ACUCCUACGGGAGGCAGCAGUGGGGAAUAUUGCACAAUGGGCGCAAGCCUGAUGCAGCGACGCCGCGUGAGGGAUGACGGCCUUCGGGUUGUAAACCUCUUUCAGUACAGACGAAGCGUAAGUGACGGUAUGUACAGAAGAAGCACCGGCCAACUACGUGCCAGCAGCCGCGGUAAUACGGGGUGGGCAGCAGUUAAUCGGAGUUAUUGGGCGUAAAGGGUGCGUAGGUUGUUAUUUAAGUCAUGUGGGAAAUACCUGGGCUCAACCUGGGAAUGACGGAUGAUACUGAAUGACUAGAGUAUAGUAGAGGGUAGUGGAAUUUCCGGUGUAGCGGUGAAAUGCGUAGAGAUCGGAAGGAACACCAGUGGCGAAGGCGGCUACCUGGACUAAUACUGACACUGAGGCACGAAAGCGUGGGUAGCAAACAGGAUUAGAUACCCU
This 441-nucleotide ribosomal RNA is filed under the name uncultured bacterium. Its description in RNAcentral is "bacterial SSU rRNA". It matches the Rfam family "Bacterial small subunit ribosomal RNA", at positions 335 to 788 of the family's 1533-position model. The record is from RNAcentral.